RNAcentral lists this ribosomal RNA (263 nucleotides) under Klebsiella pneumoniae. RNAcentral describes it as "partial 23S ribosomal RNA". It matches the Rfam family "Bacterial large subunit ribosomal RNA", at positions 1412 to 1674 of the family's 2925-position model. The record is from RNAcentral. Lineage: Bacteria; Pseudomonadati; Pseudomonadota; Gammaproteobacteria; Enterobacterales; Enterobacteriaceae.
UAGUCGAUGGAAAACAGGUUAAUAUUCCUGUACUUCUGGUUAUUGCGAUGGAGGGACGGAGAAGGCUAGGCAAGCUUGGCGUUGGUUGUCCAAGUUUAAUGUGGUAGGCUGGAAUCUUAGGUAAAUCCGGGAUUCUAAGGCCGAGAGCUGAUGACGAGUUAACUUUUAGUUAACGAAGUGGUUGAUGCCAUGCUUCCAAGAAAAGCUUCUAAGCUUCAGGUAACCAGGAACCGUACCCCAAACCGACACAGGUGGUUGGGUAG